This 253-nucleotide ribosomal RNA is filed under the name uncultured bacterium. Its description in RNAcentral is "partial 16S ribosomal RNA". It matches the Rfam family "Bacterial small subunit ribosomal RNA", at positions 524 to 776 of the family's 1533-position model. The record is from RNAcentral.
UACGUAGGGGGCAAGCGUUGUCCGGAAUCAUUGGGCGUAAAGAGCGUGUAGGCGGCCCGAUAAGUCCGCUGUGAAAGUCCAGGGCUCAACCCUGGGAUGCCGGUGGAUACUGUCGGGCUCGAGUCCGGAAGAGGAGUGUGGAAUUCCUGGUGUAGCGGUGAAAUGCGCAGAUAUCAGGAGGAACACCAAUGGCGAAGGCAGCACUCUGGGACGUGACUGACACUCAGGGACGAAAGCUAGGGGAGCGAAUGGG